Apis cerana (Asiatic honeybee) is the source of this 9821-nucleotide long non-coding RNA. RefSeq lists it as uncharacterized. Lineage: Eukaryota; Metazoa; Arthropoda; Insecta; Hymenoptera; Apidae. The record is from RefSeq and is a predicted model, not a curated record.
UGCGAUGAAAAUUACUUGUAACAACUCGUAGAAAGUUUAUCAUUGUAAUUAUAUUCGUGUUAAAUUAUUGUGUAUAAAACUAAGAAUCAUUUAAUGUUACUCGUCCCAUGUAACGAAGUAACGAUAUUUCACGAAAAAUGGAAAAAUACGCAGAAUUUAUCGCGAGUAAAUCUUCUUUAAAUUUAUGGCCGAAAGUUAGUCGAUAACGACAAUCAUGGAGAUUAAACGAAAGAGAGAGAGAGAGAGAGAGAGAGAUUGGGAGCAGUCGAAAAAAAUAUAAAUGUUUCAGAAUCAAAUUCAAUAGAGAUUAUUCGCUUUCUAAGAGGAUUCGCUUCUCUUUUUUUUCUUUUUCUUUUUUUUCUAAUAGCGAUAGUAAUUUUCGACUUUAAAAAUAGAUACAGUAAAAUUCUAAUAAUCUGUCGUGCCAAGACCUUUGACAUUAUCAAACUGACUGGAUUAUUGAAUUACUACUAUUUCAUUAUGAAACAAGGAAAAUAAUGUAAAAAGAAAUCAUAGUUAAAUCCUGAUUACGCUAACAUGGAUCUUUUUUAAAUAUUUAAGAUAGUUUGAUCGCAUAGCAAGAUUAUUUAGAUUAUUUUUAUCGUUGCGUCCAGAAUUGGACUAUAAUCAUUGAUCAAUAAUAAAAUAAAAUAUAUUUGUACAUCAUGUUUAUUCAUUAACAAUUUAUUAAUCGUAAUAAUUAAUCAUUUUAUACAUAUUACUUCAUAUAGAUUUCAUUUGAAUCGAUAGAAAAAUUUUUGACAUGUAUAAUACGUUUCUACAUCAAAAAUUUCAGCUCCUGUUGAAAUUUUUAUAUAGAUUAUACAUAUAUUAUCUAUAAUUUAAAACUAUAUAAAAAAAAAAUCUUGAUUGAUCAAAAUUAAAUGGAUUAUAAUUUUUAAUUAUUUUUUUUAAUUAAUGAUACUGAUUAUUAAACAAUUUUAAAUAGUGAUUAAUAAUAUGAUUUUACAUUAAUUUAAUAAUUAAUCAGAUUACGUAUAUAAUAAGGAAAAGCUUGUUUGAUAAAUUUACUUUUACUAAUUCGUAUAAAAUUAUGUUAUCGAUAAAAGUUUUAUCUCUAAAUAUACGAAAAUAAAUCACUCGUAUAUAUCUGUGAAAUUAAAUUAAUUCUUGAAUGAACGCAUGAUUCUCAAAAAUGUAAAAUAACAAUAUUGAUUAUCGAGUGUUAAACUGGGGGAAUUUAACGAAAUUUACAUGCAUUGCUUUAGCAAGUUUUCAAACUUAAAAACUCCACUGCUUCCAAAUUAUUUUAUUUUUUCCCUGAUUUCACUUUUCGCCGCAAAUUUCACGAAUUAAUCGAAACUUUUUCCUCGUCCAUCAACCAAUGGAAAUCCAAUCCGAUGAGGUGACCAACUUUCCUAAAGGACGGCAGCUGGCGUUAAUAAUGAUGGAAAGAUUUCGUAUAAUGCCGGUUAUUAAGUUCUUCUCCGCAAUUAUCUCGUGAAAGAUACAAAAUUUUUCGAUAUUAUGCGACAUAUUAACCGAUUAACGAGUCAGAAAUCAAUGCGAGCUUCUGCUACACAAUCAUGCGUAACGAUAAUCGAUAAUGUAAUCGAACUUGCCGUCACUCUUUUAUGCAUAACAAAGUAAUUUUCACUAAAACAUGUCCGUUAUAUAAUUACUCAUUAUCAUUUACGUAACGUCGUAAUCAUCGAACUAAAAAAAAAAAAAAAAAGAAGAAGAAAAAAAGAAUACGAAAUAAAGGAGAUGGGAUGAAUAUUCAACGACGAGACGGAUUACGUCAGAUAAAAAAUAUUUUUCUGAAAGGAAAUUAAUUCUCGAUUGGGAAAAAUUAUUUAAAAAUUUGAAAGACUCGAUACAUGGUCGAUAGAUAUAAAAUUAAUCCGUCGUUAACACGGUCGAAUCUAACAAAGAUUCGUCGACACUUGAUUUAUAAUGGAACUUCGUUCCAUUCAACGAAAUCGAUUCGAUUCAAUCGCGUCUAACCAAAACGUUGCACAGAAACGAUUGCCACUGUCCGUGUCAUUUUCGAAAGUCGGUCGAGGCUAUUGCGACAAGGGACAAGUCGUUGGGAAACAACGUAAAGGAGAAAGGGGCAUUUUAUUCAACGUAGAAGAAUCAACUACGAAUUUCGGAUUGAACGUUGAACGUUGUAAAAUUAAUUCAAGAGGUUAUGUCACGUGCCUCCGUCCCAUUUCGCUAACUCAUUGAUACGCGUACAACUUUGAAUCACUUUCAGAUACGAUCGUGUUUUCUAAUUAAAUUAAUUCGCCGAUCGAUUGAUUAUUCGAUCAAAAAUUUUCCACUCCUGUCGAACAAAUGGUGUCGUUAAUGUGUGCCACUUUUCGCGCCAAAUUUAAAUUCGUCUCUUCGUAAAUAAAUUUAAACUUUUUUCUUCGUCCCUCAAGAAUUUUCAAACAACUUUCUGCUUUUUUCGGAAAGCGUUAGCGGAAAGUAUAGAAGAUAAAAAGAAGAGGAAAUACGUUUGAUAAGAGACGCUAACAGUGUAGUUGAUUUGAUACGAAUGUUGCAACAUAGUGUAUAAGCGUAUCGUUCCAUUUCUUUCCAUUAUUUCUAUCCUUCUUCUCCAAUUCUUCUAUUUCUAUCCGUUGACAUAAAUCUUUUUUUCAUUAAGAUAUAUUUCUUACGAUAAGCUCGAACUCGACAAAAUACGAAUCUAUCUUUUCCUACUAAAAAUAUAUAACGAAAAAACAUUGAUAGUAGAUGGAGAGGAGAGGAAAAAAGCGGGGGAAAGGAAGACGAAUAAAACGGUUAUAAAUGAGUGUACGAAAAAAGAAGAGGAGAAAGAAACGAAAAGUAUCCAUAAUAUUUGAUGAGGCGUUACCAAAGGAGGAAGGAGGCGGAGGAAGGAGUGGAGGGGUAAGCAACCUGGAACAAACCGUGCACGAACAGAGAGAGGAGGUUUUCCCGUGGGGUAGAGUGUAAAGUUGCGCAGGUCAAGUCAGGUCAAGACACUCUAUAAGCGAACGAAAUAAAGGAUGAGAGAAAACAAAUAACCACGAAAAAUUGUAACGAGCAUAAAACAACAAGUUGGAUACACAAUUCCAGCAUUACGUAUUAAUAUAAAUGCCAAGUUAUAUAAUACGAAUGUCAACGAUGCAAACAAGAUAAAAGAAAAAUAAUAAUAACGAUAAUCAUAAAUGUUUAUAUUUUGAUUGAUUGUGUUCGUGUAAAAAUCUAUAUAUUUCAUAAAAUCUGAAAUAGCAUUCGUUUUCACAAUGGCGCGUGCAAACGCGUACUUUAUUUCGACUCGGCAUGAAACAAGUGCGGGGCAUCCGAGUGGAGGGGCGACGAGUCUUUUAAAUUUUGUAAGAUUAUUCUCUUUCACGAGAAUGUACAAUGGGGAUCGUUGAAGCGUUUCGACAUGACACGACAGGACAUGAUUCGACACGAUACAAUACUAGAGACGCGCGCGUGACAUGCGUCCUUGCCACGUGCACAAACAAAUACACAUUCACGUGAUCAUGUUGUAGGUUUACAUUUCAUUUUAAGUUAUAGAUCAUUAAAUAAGCUCGUAUAUUUAUACAUUCUAUUAUCGAGUUAUUCGAUUCAAUGUUUUUCAAAAACAACGAUUUCUUUUUAAAUUGUAUCGUUGAAAAUAUUUUUAUACGUGAAAUUUGCUAGUUUACUACACUUGGUGAAAUAAAACGUCGAGGUAUUAUGAUAUGAAAGUUAUAAAUUUUAUUCAAAAUAUAUAUAUAUAUUUCACGAAAUUUGUUUAUCGACAACCUUCCCCUUCCAAUACUCUACCCUCGUUCUGCUACCCUUUAGUACCGCCUACUAUACCGCCUCCUCAUUAUCGAAUCGUAUGAAAAUUUACGUAAAUUUGUUGCAAGAAUAAAAAUUUAAAAUAAUACGAUUCAUCGAGAUUUGAGGAAAUUAACUUUUUUGCUCGAUCGUUCGAUCGAGACAGGAAUAGCAGAGGAAAAAAGUAGCGCGUUCGCUGAAGACGCGAGGAUGGGAUGUGCGAAUGCGCGAGGUGCGAGAUGCGAAAUGCGAUCACGUGGCGGGACACGCGUCGACGAACUCUCGGCUCGAGCCGAAAACGGCCAGGCUGCACGGAGAGUGGUUGCGUCAUCGUGCCCCGGACCUGUGACCGCCCCGCGCGUUCGCUUCGCGAUAUUCGAGAGGACCUUCGAAUGCCACACGAGUCUAGUCGCUCCUGGAAUGAGCAGUUAAGCGAAUGAACGAUCGUCCGCGAUUAACCUAUGACAAUGUUUGAUAAUAGGCACCUUUAUUGAGGAACGUGGUGGUCCAUGGAUAAAUGUCGGUGGUUGAAGGUGUCUCAGCCGGCGCAGCGCCGUACGCGCGAAACAUCUUCUUCCGCUAUGUGAGUUCGUAUGAUCCGAUUACGGUCGCACAAUCGAUUCGUUGAAUUUCGACGCGAUGUUUCACCGAUCGUUUACUCCUUACUCCAAAAAUCUUUUUGAUCCUCUCGUGUGCUCUUGUCCUUAAACUCUUUCCCCGGUCCGUCGUCCACUCGGCCCGGCUACGGUAGUCACUGCGCACUUUGAACUUCACCUCGGUAAACAAUCUCGGAAACAAGCUCGGUAAUUCCCGAUUCUUGAUAAGUUCGACACUACACGGACAACACGGAGUAAAUGCACGCAACGGGACGUGAUCAAAGCAUCGGAAGUUUCGAGUUUAUGCACAACACACAUACGGACAGGAACGGCACACUAACGGGCGCGACAGUCAGACCGGAGCAUGGGAGCACCGGAGUACCGGGGUACCGUUCGCCGAUGAACCCUAGAUAAAGUUUCCUCCUCCACUAUCGAGUCACCGAACACACACAGACGAUCUUCGAUUCCACACUGCUACCUGCCGCGCACUUCUGUUUCUGUUUCUAUUUUUAUUUCUAUUUCUAUUUCUAUUCCCUUCCUUUCUUCCUAAUUUUUUUCCGUCUCUCUUCUUUUUUCUUAUUAUAUCUCUUCUCGAUUCCACUAUAUUUUCUCGUGCUUCAUCGAUCACCAACUAAGACACGAAGUACAAGUUAUAUCGUAACUUUUACGGUAUAUCGAAGCACAGAAGGUUAAGCGGUGUAUCUGCAUUAGCACGAAGAUAAUCGUCGUCUCACGGCCAACAAGGUGAGAGUAGUAGUUGCUACGUCAAGAGUUUACGCGAUAGCAGCGAAACGAACGGAAAAGUCGUCGCGCGCACUUUGCUCCGAUUCUGCUUCUGUUUCGAAAACAGAUCGUCGACCUUUUUCUUCACACUUUGCCGCUUCUUUCUUGAGUACUUGAUUCGUUAACUUUCGAUCAACGUACGCGACACUAUCAAUUAUUUGUUUUUGGAAAAAGGCGUGGUUACGAUUAUGAUCACUGUUACGGUUCCAACUGCGAUUGCGCGACGCGUGCGGACACAAGAUACUACGAUACGCGCUGUUCGAGGUUCGCUGAAGGAAUGGCCGCUCCGCGAUGGUCCCCGGCCCCCAGGCGUGGGAGGAAGCUGGUAGUGCGCGGUGGUGCGGCGCGGUGAGGCAAGCUAUUGCGAGACGAGGCGAAACGAACGUGGUGAGACGAAGCGAAGCGAGACCAACCGAAGAGAGGCGAAGAGCGGUGAGACGAGACGAAGUCCAUGGCGGACAUGCAUGUACGCGAUGUGCGCACCGACGACCGCUCUGCCAACGCGUUUGUCGUGUAGCGCGCGCACGCGCGGGCACCCGCGUUCAUGCUCGUGUCCGCUCGUCCACGAGCGCGACAGAGUUAGAGCACGCGCGCAAAAGGGAUCGAUGGCGCCGUGGUGAAGCCUCCCAAACCACUACUCGCCAGUGUCACAUCGAGCGAAAAAGUGCUAUAUGACUGACGAGGAUAGUUACAAGAGUCGUCCACGAGUACACACUGGCAGAGUUUCACAUAUGUGCACAUACGAGAUAUAGAAAGAGAGAAAGAGAAGGAGAAAGGGCUUACGCCAAAGACAAACGAACGAAGCGAGUUCGAACGAUGUAUACGAGAUACGACUCGAUGACGUACAUGGGCAAGGGGGCGGGAAGUAAGAGACGGAACGCACACCGCAGGGACGUAAACAGAAUCUCAUAUGCCCCCGACAUAAAUGUUACGUAUGUUUUUACUUUGCAAUUCGUCACAUCUUUUAUUUGCAAUCAUAAAUACGAGAGACGAUAUUUAAUAUGUCGGAUCUAUUAUUACACAACUGGCAAUUGAAUCGAACGAUUUCGAAUACGCAAUCAAACGAUUCUUUCAACAUACGACCUUAAAUGGUUAAAAUUCGUGGUUAUUAUAGAAUUAACGUAAAAUUUAUAUUUAAAAGAAUUUAUGAGAGAAGAUAAUUUGAUGAAAGAUAAAAAAAAAGACUCGAAAAGUAUAUAUAUAUAUAUAUAAAUAUGGAAAUAUACGAGCGUAACAAAUAGGUUUUAUAUGAAUAUACUAGGAAUAAAAAUGGGAAGUGGUAUGUUGUAUAUACAUAUGUAUUAAUCUGUAUAAAUAUACGAAUAGAUUUAGAGAUAUUCUUCUAUAUACAUACAUAUGUAUAUAUAUAUAUACAUAUGAAACGCGUGCGACCCCUUGGUAGCAUGGCCACAUUGCCCCCGUUCACUGCUUCAGCAUUGAAACGCGAUGACUCAAAAACAACCGUGUGCGGUACAUCAGCAUAUUUAUGUAGCGCAUCUAUUGUCUUCGAUAUCAUUGAUAUCUAUAUAUAUCGUAGAUCAUUUCUCUAUUUAUCCACUUUACCAUUCAUAUCAUAUUAACAUUUUUUUGUCUCUUUCCCUGCUAUUUGACGGUUCUCAAUCGCAAUUCGAUCGACUCAUCGAUGACUAUGAAUCACUGAACUACUCAUCGAAUUCAAAUGAAUCAGCUACGCUAAGCUGGUUUUAGCUCCUAAUUUUUCUUCUAUGUUGGAACUUUGCCGAAAUAGAUCAAAGUUCGUCGAUUUCAAACGAAAUAAGAUAAAUUUUCAUAAAUCGACGCGAAAAAUUUUAAAAUUCUCUUUCCGAGUUUGUUCAUAAAGAAUUAUGAAGAAUGCUUAAUGUUAACUUUAUACGUGUGUUAUAUUAUCCAAUAAAUUUACAAUAUAAUAUUAUUUAAUUACGUAUUACGAAAUUAUAUAAUAUUUGUAAGUAAAGAAACUAGACCACGAUUCAAGAAAUAACAAAAAUAUUCUAACGUUUUGUCCAGACCCGUAGAACCACGAUGUGGAGGAACUCGAUAAUACGCUCAAGGUUGUCUGCUUGCGAAUGCUUAUAUAUGCGAUUCUCUAUACACGUGAUAUCGCGAAUAUGAAAUCCGCGAACAUUGUUCCGGUGCGCCGAUUUCUUUGGUCACGUGUCAAAUUCAACUCGAAACUAUUAUACUAUUAUUCGUCAGUCAUUAACCUCUGUUCUCCAUCACAAUCUUAUACAAUUGUGUCUUUACCAGCAAUUGUCUUGCAUUUUUCCAAUUCGAAACGCUGCUUCUGAUUGCUAUUUCUGUGAACUGAAUCGCUCGAAUGAUAAUACUUAGUACUACGUACAAGUUAUUUACACGUGCAUCUAUAUAUAUAUAUAUAUAUCGGUGGGACUCAGUAAAGAUAACACUCUUCGUCAUCGUCACACUUCUCCGUUACAGUUUUGCAACACAAACAUAAUAUUGUACACUAUCGUUAAUUAUAUUUCAUCAUUUCGAUAUGCAUCAACACUCCAAUUUAACGUGGAAAAUAUAAUAUUGCUAUUUAUUUAAUAUAUACCUGUUAUAUACCUUAACGUAUAAUAAAUACGAUAUUCAAUCGCAUGCGCGCAUUUUAUUUUAGAACUGUUAGCAGUCUUAAAAAAAAAAAAAAAAAAAAAACAAAAGAUAUCUUUCGUUAAACACAAUAUGCAGUACAAAAAGCUAUAAAGCUACUGCAGUAUUAAGAAUUUAUCUUCGAUUAAUUGCAAAUGUACAAAUGAAUAUCCCCGUUUUGUCACAUCAUUUGUAAACGAUUAUACACGGUGAACGGUGCACGUGCGGUAAUAUCUAUAUAUAUGUAACGUUUCUACGGCAACAAGAGGCAUACCGAUACGAAGGAUGCUUUAAUCGAUGUUCAAGGUUAAACGACAGAAUUAUUAGCGCUCGCACUUGUUGCGACACAACUCGCGGUCGUUUCGCGGUUCGACCAACGUCGCACUGAUACGUAGACGUUGGCAUUUUAUGACGCACACCCGUUACAUAAUUGUUCAACAUCGAAAUGAGCAUACCUAUAUAUCCUCACCCCCGUUUAUCGUUUCUCCAAUUGAAAAAGUUCGUUGCUCGUCAAUAUUCCUAUCUAUAUCACGAGCGACAUCUGACAUCUGUUUUCACGCAAUUUUUAUGCAAUGAUUAGCCAAAACAAAACGUUUCGAAUAAUUCCAGCGUAAAUCCUUUCAAGCACGAGAAAAAUGAUAAACAUUAUUUUUAGAAUAAAUAUAAUUUGAUAAUAUAGGGAAUAUCAGAAGUUAGAAAAAUAACUAGGCCUUCCGUUUUUUUUCGAAUAACCUCAAUGAUCCAUACAUUCGUAUUUCGUAAAUAAUAUGUUAACAGAUUGAUGACAAUCAUCGAUAACGUCGAUGAAAAUUGUAAACACCAGAGGGACGAAGGAAUUUGCGUACGUAGCUUUAUCGUGAAAAUUAGUGCACACAUAAAUGAGGUUGUAUAUGAGCGCAUGCGCAGUACUGAAUUCGAUCGAACUGCGCAACAGUAUGGAAUUUCACAAAGCAGAAACGCAAGUUGCACAAUUUUGAAACACAUUCUAAAUUAAUAUAUUCGUAUUCUUUAACGAUUAUGGUCUUCAUAUUAUUUACUCAAUCGCUUCACUAGGAGGUCCCGUCGAAAGGAAUGAUAUAACUCUGAUAAUUUCAUCAAAGAAAGAAUCAAACAAAGAAAUAUCGAACGAAAGAGAAAAUGGCGAGAUCGAAAGCAAGAAACGAAGCGUUGAGCUUGGUUGAAACGGUUGGCCCCUAAGCUAAAAUAAGCGGAAGCCGAGCUGCUCUGAUUAACGUGGAAGUUUCGAUUUCAACUUUAAUUUCGACAUUGGUCUGCGCCCAAUUCCGGCUUACACAUUUUAGGCCCCAUACAUAAUGGAUGAACAUGAGAGAUACAAACAGAUUGAGGAAAACUGGCUCUAUUUGCAUAUGCCUCUCCUACCAUUAAGCCAAGGCCUUUCGAUGUCUCGAAAAAAUAAUGGUAAAGGAAAAGAAAGUUGGUGUGUUUGAAUAUGGAGGAGUUAUCGAUAAUUUCCACAUCGAUGCGUUUUUUUUCUCGUUAAUGCUCGUUGAUCGAUGUCGACACUUUCUGAUAAAACGGAGGGAACGUCCGCCAAUAUUUAUACGGAUAUUGUGCAGUGACGAUCAUCGCGCGAGAGAGAGAGAGAGAAAAAAAACAUUCGUUUCGCUCGCAGAAUGAUUCAGUAUGCACGAAGCCUUAUCGCAGGUUCGACACGAAGGAUGACCGACACGAAAGCGUGCAAGAGAUACGCUGUACGAGCACGAAUAGGCCGGACCAGCUGACUGCCAAAACAGCUGUGGCGAUACACGUGAUGAUGGAUCACGACUUGCCCUGGUUCACUGGUCCGACGUCUCUGCUUCUCCUUUAGACUCGAUCGACCUCUCGACUCGAUCGCGCGUUUCCAAUUAAACUUCUUUUGUUCUUUCUUUUUUUUUUUUCUUUAAUUAUUUAACGCGUGCAUUAUAUUUAUAUGGAAAUGAGUAAUCAUGUAAUAAAACUAGCGGUAAUGUAAUGACACUUGGCGCGUGGUAACUUAAGUGGCCCCAAAUCCCAAAGUAAUUAUCCCAAAUGAAUAGCGCAAUAUGUUAUAAUUUAUAUACAAUGAUAAUUAAAAAAUAUAAAAAGUAAUCUUUUUAAGGCCAA